AACACAUGCAAGUCGAGCGGAAACGACACUAACGAUCCUUCGGGUGCGUUAAUGGGCGUCGAGCGGCGGACGGGUGAGUAAUGCCUAGGAAAUUGCCUUGAUGUGGGGGAUAACCAUUGGAAACGAUGGCUAAUACCGCAUAAUGCCUACGGGCCAAAGAGGGGGACCUUCGGGCCUCUCGCGUCAAGAUAUGCCUAGGUGGGAUUAGCUAGUUGGUGAGGUAAUGGCUCACCAAGGCGACGAUCCCUAGCUGGUCUGAGAGGAUGAUCAGCCACACUGGAACUGAGACACGGUCCAGACUCCUACGGGAGGCAGCAGUGGGGAAUAUUGCACAAUGGGCGAAAGCCUGAUGCAGCCAUGCCGCGUGUAUGAAGAAGGCCUUCGGGUUGUAAAGUACUUUCAGUUGUGAGGAAGGGGGUAGCGUUAAUAGCGNCUGUAUUGGACGUUAGCAACAGAAGAAGCACC
This 465-nucleotide ribosomal RNA is filed under the name uncultured Gammaproteobacteria bacterium. RNAcentral describes it as "bacterial SSU rRNA". It matches the Rfam family "Bacterial small subunit ribosomal RNA", at positions 50 to 494 of the family's 1533-position model. The record is from RNAcentral. Lineage: Bacteria; Pseudomonadati; Pseudomonadota; Gammaproteobacteria.